UACUGCCUAUAAAUUCACUGCUCAUCUAGUGUCUUCCUCAUAAACCAAACCAAACCAACCAAACUUAACUAGCAGAUAACAAGCCUUCAAAAAAAAAAAACUAGCAGAUAACAAAGAAACAUGGCUGGAGGCAGAGAAUUCAAGGUGAGUACGAGGAAGCAAGAUGCGGUGGCCGCUGCACUGCCAUUGCAAGAGCACCGGCUACCACUCUCCAACCUCGACUUGCUUCUGCCACCAGUCGAUGUGGGAGUGUUCUUCUGCUACAAGAACCACAGCAGCCCCUCUGUGGCCGCCUCCAGGGUCGGGGUUCUGAAGAAGGGCUUGGCCCAAGCCCUGGUGACAUACUAUGCCUUUUCGGGUGAGGUGGUGGCCAACUCUGUUGGGGAGCCUGAGAUUCUGUGCAACAACCGUGGGGUUGAUUUCACUGAAGCUUUUGCUGACGUUGAACUUAAAGAGCUCAACCUUCAUAACCCUGAUGAGAGCAUUGAAGGAAAAUUGGUUCCCAACAAGAAGCAUGGGAUUCUGGCUGUCCAGGUUGAUAUCCGACUCCUGUUCCCUCUCACUUCAACGUUUUAAGUUUUGUUUUUUGUUUAUGAAAUUUGUAGUUUUGAACCAGAAGUUGACCCAUUUCCUCUAGCAGAAGUAAUCAAAUUUCUCUAGUUGAAUGUACAAAUUUGCAGGCAACUGAACUCAAGUGUGGAGGGAUGGUGGUGGCAUGCACAUUUGACCAUCGCAUAGCAGAUGCCUACUCAGCCAACAUGUUUCUGGUUUCAUGGGCAAAGAUGGCCAACUCAGAAUCUCCAGUCAUUAUCGUACCUUCUUUUCGUCGUUCUUUGUUAAACCCUCGCCGUCCCGGUCAGAUCCAUCCUUCCCUAAAUGACCUGUACGUCCCUGUCACAUCUCUGCCCCCUCCUCCCAAAAUGGAGACCAAUGAUCAUGAAGACCGACUUCUCAGUCGCAUAUACUACGUUAAAGCAGAGCAACUUAUCAAGCUCCAAGCACUUGCGAGCUCCAGUGGUUGCAAAAGGUCCAAGCUGGUGUCCUUUUCUGCAUUCUUGUGGAAAAUGGUUGCCGGAAGCGAAACCGGCAAUGAUGUCGAAAAAUUAUGCAAAAUGGGUAUUGUAGUUGACGGAAGGUCUAGAUUAGCCGAUGAAAAUAAGAUGGCUAGUUACUUUGGCAAUGUUUUGUCUAUUCCAUUCGGAGAUAAAGUAAUACAAGAGCUCAAUGAAAAAUCACUGAAUUGGGUAGCUGAUGAAGUUCAUGAGUUUCUGGAAUGUGCGGUAACGAAGGAACAUUUCUUAGGGCUGAUAGACUGGGUGGAGGCUCACCGCCCGGUGCCAGGCAUGGCCAAGAUAUGCUGCAGCGGAAGCGAAGAGGGUCCUGCUUUCGUGGUGUCCUCCGGCCAAAGGCUUCCGGUUUCUGAAGUGGAUUUCGGUUGGGGGGCACCGCUUUUUGGGUCGUACCAUUUUUCAUGGGGAGGCAGCUCCGGGUAUGUGAUGCCGAUGCCGAGUCCGGUGGGGAAUGGGGACUGGGUUGUGUACAUGCACAUGUUGAAAGGGCAGUUGGACGUGAUAGAGAAGGAGGGUGGUCAUGUGUUCAAGCCCUUGACUUAUGAUUAUCUUGUUUAAUUAAAUUUUAUUAUUGUAAGUAUUUAUAAUUACCAAAUGUUUAUCUCAAUAAUUCUGUAUACACGGAGAUUGAAGUUAAAUUCCUUCUAUAUUGUACCUUAUGUAUGAUCAAUCAGGUACCCAAUGUUUAGAAGAGGGUACCUCAAGUUAUGCUCAGUUUGACAGUUUAAUAUUUCCGUUAAUUUUUUCGUUAAAUAUAAGAGAAAAUUUUGAUUUAUGUCCUAUUUAUAAAUAUAGACAUAAAUAUAUUUGUUUUGUGGGUUAAAUGACCAUUAGUCUUGGGUCUUUAUUAUUUUCUAGGUCUUUUAGGAGCACAUGAACAUGAAUUAAUAUUUUUGGUUAGGUUGAUAUAAUAUGACAUAAUCUAAUUUUAUGUUAAAAAAAUAUGUAUUUGUGAUUUGACCACCUAUUACACUACUUUCAGUGAAUUAAUUCGAUAUAUCUCAGUGGAGUAGUCUUGUGAGUGUUUAGGUUACACCGACUAAAUUUCUUAAAUAUAAAAUUCAAUUAUGUUUGAAGAAAAUAUUAAUACAUCCUUAUAUAGAUAAAUAUUAAUUCAAUUUUUGGAUAUAUAGUGAAAUAUAUACAGUUGUCUUCCAGAGCAGGACACCACUUUGAAAUUAAAGCGUGGUGCUCCUCAUUUUGCUCACUUUCAGGUCGCAUUUCCACAACUGCACAUUUUAGUGUCUAAAUGUGUAGAUCAUUUCUGUAAAGUUUCAUCAAAUUUGGAGAUCAUUUGAGCUUCCGUAAUUGUGAUUUACACGAAUAGUUUUGUUCUGUUUGGACAGUUUUUGUUAUGUUGAUUUAUUGAAUCUAAUUCGGUACCCAAAUGAUCUACAAAUUAGAUGAAACUGUGUAGGAAUGAUAUACACACUAUGUUAUAGACAUAAUACGGUUAAUAUGUGAAAAUGCGACUUGAAAAUGAACGAAAUAAGAAGGUUCACACUUUAAUUUCAAAGAGAGACACCGCUCUAAAAGGAAAUUGUGUAUACACAUAUGUCAUAUGAGUGUUUAGGUGCUUGCUAUGCUCUAAAUUGGCUCUAACUUUCUCUUUCUUAUGAUAUAUAUGAUGCAAGUUUUACGGAGAUAUUAGUUUAAACUUCGGACAAAACUCUCCUACCUCAUCUUGAAAUCUACAACCCAUAUCUCUCUCUCUCUCNNNNNNNNNNNNNNNNNNNNUACUACUACUACUACUACUCUACUACUACUACUACUCUCUCUACUCUCUCUCUCUCUCUCUCUCUCUCUCUCUCUCUCUCUCUCUCUCUCUCUCUCUCUCUCUCUCUCUCUCCUCAGUUUCUUUUUAUCUUCUUCUUUCUCCGUCCUUGACCUUCUCUUUCUCUUUCUCUUUCUCAUCCCUUUCCCUUUUCUUAAUUUUCUUUCUCCCUUCCCCUGUUUGCCUUUUCUCUGUCUCCUUUUUCCCCCACGUACCGUCAACAAUGACCCAAAUCCUUCUUAUCUCACCACAAAAGAUAAGACCAGCCUACCAAAUAAUAUCAUUGUAGGUGACUGACAACCAAUAACUAUCAAUUUAGCUAUUUCUCAUGUCCAAAGCAAAGAUUCCGGGCUGCUAGCAGUUAGUAACUUAAUUAGUACGUACAUUGUUUAACGUAAGCAGUUGGCUAAGCUCAUUUCUCGUUUAGGCAUUACAGCUAGGGUCUUAAUAAGGCUUAAAAUUUGUGACAUUAAUCCUAUGUGUCAUGUUAUAUAAGUAUGUAAAAAUAUUUACUUCUGAUUCCAGAUAAUAUAUCUUACCAAAUCAUUAGAUUACAUUACAAAUUUGACCAUUUCUAUUUCCCUUUAGAUUUUAAGAGGUGAAUCAAUGAUAUUAAUGAACUUUAUUAGCCUCUGCAGCGAUGUGCCUCUUAUUAAAGACUUUUAACCUUGUAGGCAUUUGCAGCUGCUAUAUGUGAUCUCUGUCACUUUGGCAAUAUCUUUAAACCCAUCAGGCAUUGAAACUGUUAUGUUCUAGAUAUCGAUUAUGUGGGGAUUAGGAUGAGACAGAGUGGGGACAACCACGACAAUCCUUGUCGUUCUCUUAGAAAAUCAUUUUUCUUAUCUCCCCCUAACUACGAGAAGACUAUCUCAUCAAAGUGACAUUCCGCAAGUCUAGCGAUAAAGAGAUGACUUGUCAAGAGUUUCAAAUGGCGGAUAAUUAUUGGAGUUUCAUAUCCAACACAUAAAUAUUCGUUUCUGAGGACCCAAUUUUGAUGCGUUGUGGGGGUGCAAUAAGCACAUAUGUUGCACAACCAAGUAUGCGUAAAUCUUAGGCUCAUGUCUAGUUACCAACUGGUACACAGGGAAUGGUUGGCUAGGAGUGGGCUUAAAAAUGAAUAAGUAAGGUUGCAUGCAAUAUUGCAUAACCCCAAGCAGAUAUAGGCAAGUUGGUGCGCAUAACCAGUACCCUAGCCAUCAUUUAUGGUGCUUUCUGCGAGACCAUUUUUGUAUGCAAAUGGGGUACAAGAUGCUCUACAUUGAUCAUGAUAGACAUACAAUAACCAUCAAAUCCUUUUGAUGUGAACUCUCAUCAUUGUCAAGUCCUAUAGACUUGGUGAUUAGGGUGAUAAGCCCUUAAACACAUAAUAUUUGCUAAGAGUUUUGCAAAUGUAGUAUUUCUUGUGAAUAAUAAUUCGACAUAUGACUAGUGUGUCGAUACGUCCUCUAGAUACAUAAUGUACUUUAAUGGUCCGCAUUUCUGGAUGGAUAAGUCCACAGUCAUCACAUUGUAUUCUUUGUAAGAAUGGAAUAUAUUGGUUUAUAUCUUUAGCAUAAGGAGGUCUCGAUCUUAUUUUUUUGCUAAAGUAUAGACUUUGCAAAACGAGUAAUUUUGCCUUUGAAAUAAUCAAUAAGGCAUAAUGGGAGGCAUGUUGUGUAUCACGUGCUUUAGAGUGCAAUGACCGCAUUAUAGCAACAUUAGCUAGAACUGGCCAGUGUCUGGUGGUCAGAGUCGGUGUCGUCACCUUGCAGGGUAACAGAGUUUUGUCCCAUUUUAUUAUUCACUCAAAGGAUAGGAUAUCCGUGUGAGUUCUUUAAAAUACGAAUCAUCAUGUCAUGACCAAGAAGUUUCUUGGUGGUCAUGCUAAAGUCUGUGUAAGUCCCUAUCCCAUGUUUCAAUGUAGGUGACUAGUUAGAUUUUUUAAAAUGCGUGUCCUACCACAUUUUAUUUAAGGUAAUAUCAUUCCAUUCUCACAUUAGAUUUUCAUAUGAUGAUCGUUGGUACGAAUUUCUUGAAACUUUAACAUGGUUUGAUUAGUGUGGUUAAUUCCACUGUCAGCCAAGCACUUGGUUUUCUUCUCGAUACAUUCCUUACAAGUAUAUAAGAGUUUAUUAAAAUAUACCUCGUAUUCUUUGGAGUAUUUCGAGUCUCAUCUAGCGUCCUCCUCACAAAUAAACCAAACAUACUUAGCAAAUAACAAAGAAAUUAUCCAAAAAAAAAAAAAAAAGCAAAUAACAAAGAAACACGCGUACAUGACCAACUUACUGCACCGGCUAGAUUAUAGAUUCAGAUCACUAGAUUACGAACCCUGCACAAUAGUUCCGAGUCAGAAGUAGAAUUUUUCUCUACUGUAACAACGGAGAAAAAGUAGAAACCAGCCCCCCGGCAAGCAACAUUGUAACAACCCUUAUUUGUUUUCAUUGUUCAUUGUAGGUCAUGACUCGCAAUCAAUAACUGCCAAGUUUAGUUAUUUCUCAUGUCCAAAGAUUCUGGGUUGUCGAACCCAUACAUAAUAAGUUAGUUCAUUGUUCAACGGAAGUACGUAGCUGGCUAAGCUCAGUUCUCCUUUUUCCCUUCCACAAGCCUACCUAUAUUUUUUAUUUUUAUUUUGAGGCAAAAACCUAUAAGUUUAUCAAAUUUAUGUAUUUUUGAUCGUCAACAUAAUUCAACAUCAAAUGAUAAUUAAGUAUAUAAAGGUUUUGAUUAGUUGAUUCAAACUUAAGCCAUUUAAGAACAUGUUCCAAUCAGAUUGUGCUGAACAAAUUGAUGUAAUGAAUGAUUAUAUAUAGCUGAGUUUCAGCAUUAUGUUCUUAGAAAUGUUAUUUCACUCUCUAAAUUAACUUCCUCGUCUAGCUAGUCCUCCUCACAAACCAAAGCAUACCAAACCAAACGAAACCAAACACAAUUAGCAAAUAAUAAAGAAACACAUGACUAACUUACUAGUUACUACACCAGAUUAUAGACUCCGAUCACUAUAUUACCAACACUGUAAAUGCAUAACGGUUCUCAUAAGAAGAAGAAGAAGUUUCCUCCACUGUAACCACUAGCUGGCUCCAGUGGUCCAGGUCUCCAGGAACUAACAAAUAUGCAAGUUGAAUUAACUCCUUACUUUGGUUUGCUGUUCAGAUAAUAGCUUAUAAGUUAUAAUUAAAUUUAGCCUUACCUCAAAUCGUCAUUGUCGCGGACUCACAUGAACUAGUUGUUUAAGUUAAUUUAUUACCACACCAACUUUUCCAAAGAUGUGAGCCUAUAUAAGUAAUCCAGAAGAAGUUGGUACAUUGUGAUGAAAAGGUAAAUAGUUUGGUAGCUCGAUAUUUUAUUGCUUAAGUUGCUUUCACCUCUAAAACCUACCCAUGCAGCUCAGCUUACUGCUUAUUGCUAUACUAAUCAAGGCCCAUUUAGGAUAACUUCGAUUUAAAAAAAAAAAAAUUAGGAGUGUUUGGUAAAUCUAAAAUGGAUCAGUUUUUAGAAGCAACAUCGAUGUAAGCAAUCAUCUAGAUUCACCCCUUAAAGGAAAAAGAAAUGGUAAAACUGGUAAUGCAAGCUUAUAAUUUGACAAGAUGAAAAAAAAAAAAAACUUAUGAUUUGACAAGAUAAAUUAUGUGAAAUCAGAAAUAAAUAAUUUUACAUACUUACGUGACAAUACUUACAUGACAUGAUUAAUGUCACAAAUUUUAGGCCUAAAAUCCUAUAUCAGUGCUCUUUCUCGAUUGAAAUUUGCAUCGUAACAGGUGUAAUAGUAUUACAAAGAACUACCAACCUGAUUUGGUGAACACAUUUAAUUAAUUAAUAAUUACAGUGAGUUUUAGUUAGGAAUAUUAUUCCACUCUCGAACUACACACUGCCUAUAAAUUCACUCCUCAUCUAGUGUCUUCCUCAUAAACCAAACCAAACCAACCAAACUUAACUAGCAGAUAACAAAGAAACAUGGCUGGAGGCAGAGAAUUCAAGGUGAGUACGAGGAAGCAAGAAGUGGUGGCCGCUGCACUGCCAUUGCAAGAGCACUGGCUACCACUCUCCAACCUCGACUUGCUUCUGCCACCAGUCGAUGUGGGAGUGUUCUUCUGCUACAAGAACCACAGCAGCCCCUCUGUGGCCGCCUCCAGGGUCGGGGUUCUGAAGAAGGGCUUGGCCCAAGCCCUGGUGACAUACUAUGCCUUUUCGGGUGAGGU
This 7016-nucleotide long non-coding RNA is filed under the name Fragaria vesca (wild strawberry). RNAcentral describes it as "long non-coding RNA (FVES_LNC003182)". Lineage: Eukaryota; Viridiplantae; Streptophyta; Magnoliopsida; Rosales; Rosaceae. The record is from RNAcentral.